This 207-nucleotide unclassified non-coding RNA is filed under the name Luzula capitata. The record is from RNAcentral. Lineage: Eukaryota; Viridiplantae; Streptophyta; Magnoliopsida; Poales; Juncaceae.
UCGAGACCGAAUAGGAAGACCGGUGCACGGUGAACGGAACCCCCGCGGUGGUUUUUGCUGCCACGGGCCGCGGCCCACUGUAGCCAUCUGGCGUUGUGGAGUUUGCGAAUAAAAAACGGCGCUGCAUUGGUGCCAAGGCAUACAUGUCGAGCAGGGCGUUCGGACCGCAGCUGUGCUGGGUGUUCGUCGUCUUGACGGUAUAAUCUU